This 1316-nucleotide ribosomal RNA is filed under the name Enterobacter hormaechei. RNAcentral's name for it is "partial 23S ribosomal RNA". It matches the Rfam family "Bacterial large subunit ribosomal RNA", at positions 170 to 1531 of the family's 2925-position model. The record is from RNAcentral. Lineage: Bacteria; Pseudomonadati; Pseudomonadota; Gammaproteobacteria; Enterobacterales; Enterobacteriaceae.
GUUAACGAGGCGAACCGGGGGAACUGAAACAUCUAAGUACCCCGAGGAAAAGAAAUCAACCGAGAUUCCCCCAGUAGCGGCGAGCGAACGGGGAGCAGCCCGGAGUCUGAAUCAGCUUGUGUGUUAGUGGAACGGUCUGGAAAGUCCGACGGUACAGGGUGAUAGUCCCGUACACGAAAGCACACUUGCUGUGAACUCGAAGAGUAGGGCGGGACACGUGGUAUCCUGUCUGAAUAUGGGGGGACCAUCCUCCAAGGCUAAAUACUCCUGACUGACCGAUAGUGAACCAGUACCGUGAGGGAAAGGCGAAAAGAACCCCGGCGAGGGGAGUGAAAAAGAACCUGAAACCGUGUACGUACAAGCAGUGGGAGCCUCUUUAUGGGGUGACUGCGUACCUUUUGUAUAAUGGGUCAGCGACUUAUAUUCUGUAGCAAGGUUAACCGUAUAGGGGAGCCGAAGGGAAACCGAGUCUUAACUGGGCGUUAAGUUGCAGGGUAUAGACCCGAAACCCGGUGAUCUAGCCAUGGGCAGGUUGAAGGUUGGGUAACACUAACUGGAGGACCGAACCGACUAAUGUUGAAAAAUUAGCGGAUGACCUGUGGCUGGGGGUGAAAGGCCAAUCAAACCGGGAGAUAGCUGGUUCUCCCCGAAAGCUAUUUAGGUAGCGCCUCGUGAACUCAUCUUCGGGGGUAGAGCACUGUUUCGGCUAGGGGGCCAUCCCGGCUUACCAACCCGAUGCAAACUACGAAUACCGAAGAAUGUUAUCACGGGAGACACACGGCGGGUGCUAACGUCCGUCGUGAAGAGGGAAACAACCCAGACCGCCAGCUAAGGUCCCAAAGUCAUGGUUAAGUGGGAAACGAUGUGGGAAGGCACAGACAGCCAGGAUGUUGGCUUAGAAGCAGCCAUCAUUUAAAGAAAGCGUAAUAGCUCACUGGUCGAGUCGGCCUGCGCGGAAGAUGUAACGGGGCUAAACCAUGCACCGAAGCUGCGGCAGCGACACUAUGUGUUGUUGGGUAGGGGAGCGUUCUGUAAGCCGUUGAAGGUGUGCUGUGAGGCAUGCUGGAGGUAUCAGAAGUGCGAAUGCUGACAUAAGUAACGAUAAAGCGGGUGAAAAGCCCGCUCGCCGGAAGACCAAGGGUUCCUGUCCAACGUUAAUCGGGGCAGGGUGAGUCGACCCCUAAGGCGAGGCCGAAAGGCGUAGUCGAUGGGAAACAGGUUAAUAUUCCUGUACUUGGUGUUACUGCGAAGGGGGGACGGAGAAGGCUAUGUCAGCCGGGCGACGGUUGUCCCGGUUUAAGCAUGUAGGCGGAGGU